RNAcentral lists this long non-coding RNA (276 nucleotides) under Setaria viridis. RNAcentral describes it as "long non-coding RNA (SVIR_LNC008182)". Lineage: Eukaryota; Viridiplantae; Streptophyta; Magnoliopsida; Poales; Poaceae. The record is from RNAcentral.
AAACACUCAGGAAAUUUUGAAAAUCUUAUAUUGAGGUAAUUUCAGCCUAGGAAAUGACUUGAAGAAACCCUUUACUGUUGUUACCACAAGCAAACGAGCUUUGUACUUUUAGAAAGUUUUUAUUCUUAACCGGAGUUUCAGCUAUAUAUAUAGUUGGUUAUAGAGUAACCAUUGCUUCCAUGAUGCCGUAAGAAGCCUACUUCGACCAUGUUUGUUUAGUAGCUAAAUCUGACGCCGUUCCAUCCAAACAAGCCCAUCCACACAUUUGUAUCGUCC